This 1145-nucleotide ribosomal RNA is filed under the name uncultured Bacillota bacterium. Its description in RNAcentral is "bacterial SSU rRNA". It matches the Rfam family "Bacterial small subunit ribosomal RNA", at positions 28 to 1195 of the family's 1533-position model. The record is from RNAcentral. Lineage: Bacteria; Bacillati; Bacillota.
GGUGAACGCUGGCGGCGUGCAUAACACAUUCAAGUCGAACGGGCGGUAAGACUUCGGUCUUAUCGUUAGUGGCGGACGGGUGAGUAACACGUGAGCAACCUGCCUUAAAGAUGGGAAUAACGCAUGGAAACGUGCGCUAAUACCGAAUAACAUAACUGCGUCGCAUGGCGCGGUUAUCAAAGGAGCAAUCCGCUUUAAGAUGGGCUCGCGCCCGAUUAGGCAGUUGGCGGGGUAACGGCCCACCAAACCGACGAUCGGUAACCGGACUGAGAGGUCGAACGGUCACAUUGGAACUGAGAAACGGUCCAGACUCCUACGGGAGGCAGCAGUGGGGAAUAUUGGGCAAUGGGCGAAAGCCUGACCCAGCGACGCCGCGUGAAGGAAGAAGGUCUUCGGAUUGUAAACUUAUGUCGGGGGGGAAGAAACAAAUGACGGUACCCUCCAAGAAAGCCACGGCUAACUACGUGCCAGCAGCCGCGGUAAUACGUAGGUGGCGAGCGUUGCCCGGAAUUACUGGGUGUAAAGGGUGUGUAGGCGGCUUUUCAAGUCAGAGGUUAAAUAUACGGGCUCAACCCGUAUACGCCUUUGAAACUGGAAGGCUUGAGUGUCGGAGAGGUAAGCGGAAUUCCCAGUGUAGCGGUAAAAUGCGUAGAUAUUGGGAGGAACACCAGUGGCGAAGGCGGCUUACUGGACGACAACUGACGCUGAGACACGAAAGCGCGGGGAGCAAACAGGAUUAGAUACCCUGGUAGUCCGCGCCGUAAACGAUGAAUGCUAGGUGUAGGGGGGAUACCUUCUGUGCCGCAGUAAACGCAAUAAGCAUUCCACCUGGGGAGUACGGCCGCAAGGUUGAAACUCAAAGGAAUUGACGGGAGCCCGCACAAGCAGUGGAGUAUGUUGUUUAAUUCGACGCAACGCGAAGAACCUUACCAGUCUGACAUCUGCGAAGAGUCGUAAUGGACUCCUGUGCCCUUCGGGAACCGCAAGACAGGUAGUGCAUGGUUGUCGUCAGCUCCGUGUCGUGAGAUGUUGGGUUAAGUCCCGCAACGAGGCGCAACCCUUUACGAUAGUGCCAGCGUUCACGAGUCACUCUAUCGGACUGGCGUGACAAACGGAGGAAGGCCGAGAUAUAUGUUCACUCAAUG